RNAcentral lists this unclassified non-coding RNA (274 nucleotides) under Hevea brasiliensis (rubber tree). Lineage: Eukaryota; Viridiplantae; Streptophyta; Magnoliopsida; Malpighiales; Euphorbiaceae. The record is from RNAcentral.
GUAAGAGUAUAUUUUGCAAGUUCUUCUCGUCUGCCCUAGCUCGCUCGCUCCUCUUCCGCGAUCUCCUCGUGUUUUCUGCAACCAAACUGCUUUUGUGUUUAUGACGACUAGCCAGAUGAAGACAAUCGAGCUGGAGGAAGGAUGGAACUUCAUGCAGAAGGGAAUCACAAAAUUAAAGAAAAUCUUAGAAGGCCAUCCAGAUUCAUUCAGCUCCGAAGAGUACAUGAUGCUCUACACAACUAUCUAUAACAUGUGUACACAGAAGCCCCCUCAU